This 30-nucleotide non-coding RNA is filed under the name Rattus norvegicus (Norway rat). Lineage: Eukaryota; Metazoa; Chordata; Mammalia; Rodentia; Muridae. The record is from RNAcentral.
UGCAGUGUAUUUGACACAGUUGGUUCCCUU